UCUAACACAGUCUGCGACUGACGGUACCUGAAGAAUAAGCACCGGCUAACUACGUGCCAGCAGCCGCGGUAAUACGUAGGGUGCGAGCGUUAAUCGUAAUUACUGGGCGUAAAGCGUGCGCAAGCGGUUAUACAAGACAGGCGUGAAAUCCCCGGGCUUAACCUGGGAAUGGCGUCUGUGACUGUAUAGCUAUAGUGUGUCAGAGGGGGGUGGAAUUCCUCGUGUAACAAUGAAAUGCGUAGAUAUGUGGAGGAACACCAAUGGCGAACGCAGCCCCCUGGGAUAACACUGACGCUCAUGCACUAAAGCGUGGGGAGCAAACAGGAUUAAUACCCUGGUAGUCCACGCCCUAAACGAUGCUGACUAGUUGUUGGGAAUUUACAUUCUCAGUAACGUAGCUAACGCGUGAAGUCACCCGCCUGGGGAGUACGGUCGCAAGAUUAAAACUCAAAGGAAUUGACGGA
This 464-nucleotide ribosomal RNA is filed under the name uncultured bacterium. Its description in RNAcentral is "bacterial SSU rRNA". It matches the Rfam family "Bacterial small subunit ribosomal RNA", at positions 454 to 917 of the family's 1533-position model. The record is from RNAcentral.